AAAAAACGAAUAAUAUUCACUUGUAUAAAUUCAACGAUAAGGGUUGAAUGUUUCUACCAAGCUACCGUAAAUUGCUAUAGGGCUAUAAGUGUCUACUAAAAAAUU
Clostridium sp. DL-VIII is the source of this 105-nucleotide regulatory RNA element. It matches the Rfam family "Purine riboswitch aptamer". From Rfam's summary of the family: Riboswitches are metabolite binding domains within certain messenger RNAs that serve as precision sensors for their corresponding targets. Allosteric rearrangement of mRNA structure is mediated by ligand binding, and this results in modulation of gene expression. The record is from Rfam. Lineage: Bacteria; Bacillati; Bacillota; Clostridia; Eubacteriales; Clostridiaceae.